GAACCCGGAGCUUGCUCUGGUGGGAUUAGUGGCGAACGGGUGAGUAACACGUGAGCAAUCUGCCCCCGACUCUGGGAUAACCCCGAGAAAUCGGAGCUAAUACCGGAUACGACACCUCCUGGCAUCAGGUGGGUGUGGAAAGAAUUUCGGUUGGGGAUGAGCUCGCGGCCUAUCAGCUUGUUGGUGAGGUAAUGGCUCACCAAGGCGACGACGGGUAGCCGGCCUGAGAGGGUGACCGGCCACACUGGGACUGAGACACGGCCCAGACUCCUACGGGAGGCAGCAGUGGGGAAUAUUGCACAAUGGGCGCAAGCCUGAUGCAGCAACGCCGCGUGGGGGACGAAGGCCUUCGGGUUGUAAACCUCUUUUGGCAGGGAAGAAGCGAAAGUGACGGUACCUGCAGAAAAAGCACCGGCUAACUACGUGCCAGCAGCCGCGGUAAUACGUAGGGUGCAAGCGUUGUCCGGAAUUAUUGGGCGUAAAGAGCUCGUAGGCGGUGUGUCACGUCUGCUGUGAAAAUCCAAGGCUCAACCUUGGACUUGCAGUGGGUACGGGCACACUCGAGUGCGGUAGGGGAGAUUGGAAUUCCUGGUGUAGCGGUGGAAUGCGCAGAUAUCAGGAGGAACACCGAUGGCGAAGGCAGAUCUCUGGGCCGUAACUGACGCUGAGGAGCGAAAGCGUGGGGAGCGAACAGGAUUAGAUACCCUGGUAGUCCACGCCGUAAACGGUGGGAACUAGAUGUGGGGUCCGUUCCACGGAUUCCGUGUCGCAGCUAACGCAUUAAGUUCCCCGCCUGGGGAGUACGGCCGCAAGGCUAAAACUCAAAGGAAUUGACGGGGGCCCGCACAAGCGGCGGAGCAUGCGGAUUAAUUCGAUGCAACGCGAAGAACCUUACCAAGGCUUGACAUAUAGGAGGAAAAGUGCAGAGAUGCACUCCCCGCAAGGUCUCUAUACAGGUGGUUGCAUGGUUGUCGUCAGCUCGUGUCGUGAGAUGUUUGGGUUAAGUCCCGCAACGAGCGCAACCCUCGUCCUAUGUUGCCAGCACGUAAAAGGUGGGAACUCAUGG
This 1066-nucleotide ribosomal RNA is filed under the name uncultured bacterium. RNAcentral describes it as "bacterial SSU rRNA". It matches the Rfam family "Bacterial small subunit ribosomal RNA", at positions 69 to 1144 of the family's 1533-position model. The record is from RNAcentral.